Siniperca chuatsi (mandarin fish) is the source of this 73-nucleotide small nucleolar RNA. RefSeq annotates it as small nucleolar RNA SNORD2. Lineage: Eukaryota; Metazoa; Chordata; Actinopteri; Centrarchiformes; Sinipercidae. The record is from RefSeq and is a predicted model, not a curated record. The transcript has a single exon.
GAGUGAAAUGAUGCUUUACCAUCUUUCGGGACUUACCCAUUAAUGGGGAUAACCUUUUUCCAACUGAUCACUC